CACGUAGGGUGCGAGCGUUGUCCGGAAUUAUUGGGCGUAAAGAGCUCGUAGGCGGUUCGGUAAGUCGGAUGUGAAAUCUCCACGCUCAACGUGGAGGGGCCAUUCGAUACUGCCGUGACUCGAGUCCGGUAGGGGAGUGUGGAAUUCCCGGUGUAGCGGUGAAAUGCGCAGAGAUCGGGAGGAACACCCGUAGCGAAGGCGGCACUCUGGGCCGGUACUGACGCUGAGGAGCGAAAGCGUGGGGAGCGAACAGG
This 254-nucleotide ribosomal RNA is filed under the name uncultured bacterium. Its description in RNAcentral is "partial 16S ribosomal RNA". It matches the Rfam family "Bacterial small subunit ribosomal RNA", at positions 524 to 776 of the family's 1533-position model. The record is from RNAcentral.